Molecule: RNA transcript, 1151 nt
Organism: Raphanus sativus (radish)
Lineage: Eukaryota; Viridiplantae; Streptophyta; Magnoliopsida; Brassicales; Brassicaceae
Exons: 5
Source: RefSeq, a predicted model, not a curated record
CAGCCGCAGGAUCAUUAGGGUUUCGUAUUCUUCUUCCGCGAUGAAGCGAAGAGUUUCUACUUCGAUCUCAUUAACAUCUAUGGAGUUUCGAUUUCAAUCCAUGUUAAACAGGCCUCCGUGAAUCUUAGUUCUCGAAUUCUGUCUGUUCUUUACACAAACUGAAACGUUACUCCUAAAUGAUUCAUCCUCUUAUCGUUUUCUUUAACUUCAUCACCCCUCUGCGAGCACGAUCUGUUAAUGAAUACACCGUAUUCCUCUGUAAGGCAGUAUCUCUAUUCCUGUAAAAGUCUAUCCAGUCGAUGCUCAUCCACCGUACAAGUUUGAUUGCUCCGGUUCUGGAAGACUAUAAACGUCAGACGCUGCGGGGAGCUGAUGGCGUAGAUAUGCUCUUACUGGAUUCAAAGGUCAAGACGGAAGUCAUUUUUAACCAAGACCUGUCUCAUCACCAAUUCCAAAUAAAUGUGACUGGGAAACUGAACCUGCUGAGCUGGAUUUCCCUAAUAGCGCCAUGAUCAGAAAGGGACUGGUGGAGGCGUUUAAUGAACUGUGCACCGUCAUGGAGGGAAGUAGCUGCAAGUUUAGUUCUCAUACAUAUGAACUGCUAACGGAAUGACCUCCUGAUAGCACGUAAGGUGUUACCGUUAGAGGAUAGUGCAAAACUCAGACCUGAACUCAUGCAAGUAGCUUCGUUUUCCUGUCAUGGUGCUACUGACUAUACAUUAAGGGUCUAAACCAUGAUCCAGGCUUCUAUUCCCGAAAAUCCUGAAUCUUUGAGACAACUGGGUAUUUAAUGUUCAGUGAAAGUCUCACUAGCUCACUGCAAAUAAGAGAAGACACAAACACAUGAUAAACCGUUGAAGCAACCACUUCAUGCUUGACACGUACUUCUGCCGCGCAGUUGAACCAUUGAUUCUACAGUGUGUAUCAAGAGUUUGAAAAUAUACCAAUGUUGGCUUUGUCGUCUGAAGAUGUCCGAGGAAGUCGGAGGAUGUCGUGACUUGAGUCCAGAUUUUUUUUCAGCUGAGGAAAAGUGUGUUCUUUUGGUUUACGAAUAAUAUCAAAAAGUUGGAUGUGCUCUGUAUAAACUGUCAAUGAGAUGUGUAAUCAGAAUCAAGGAUAAGGCACAAUCAAUUUAAACAGCUUUCUUUGCA